This is an RNA transcript of Juglans regia (Persian walnut), 2101 nucleotides long. It is a transcript of the gene named tRNA-specific 2-thiouridylase MnmA, with no coding region annotated. The record is from RefSeq and is a predicted model, not a curated record. The transcript is spliced from 11 exons. NCBI's taxonomy places the organism in Eukaryota, Viridiplantae, Streptophyta, Magnoliopsida, Fagales, Juglandaceae.
GCGAACUCUUUUUCGAAUUAAUUUUCAGUGGACAAUCCCAAACUGAGCUGCGCAACCAUUUUGUGGUGAAACAAUGGGAAGAGCAAGACUGGGACUGAGUUUGAGGCCCAUGUCGUCGUCUCCGAUUCUCUCUCACCUCCCCUUCCUCUCUCCCCCUCGCCUAACUCUUGUUAAACCCCAAGUCCUUCCGUCCCGGCACCUCACCACCACUAGGCUUCUCUUCUUCCUCCCUAUAUCGCCUAGACCCCUCUCUCCGUCCUCUUCCUUUUCCUCUUCCACUGUGGUGCCCCGAAUCUCACUCUCUUCGAAGUGCUUCGAUGUCGAUCUCGAACCUUACCUCUCUUGCUCUAUGCCCAAUAAACGUCUCAGAGUCGCCGUCCUUCUCAGCGGCGGCGUCGAUAGUAGCGUCGCUCUUCGCCUCCUCCACGCCGCUGGCCACGAAUGCACUGCUUUCUACCUUAAAAUCUGGUUCCAAGAAGACUUCGAGAACUUUUGGUCAGAAUGCCCAUGGGAAGAAGAUUUGAAGUAUGCUCAAGCUGUUUGUAAUCAGGUUGAUAUCCCUUUGGAAGUUGUGCAUUUGACAGAUGAGUAUUGGAAGAAUGUGGUGUCUUACAUUAUUGAAGAGUAUCGAUGUGGUCGGACUCCUAACCCAGAUGUUCUUUGCAAUACAAGAAUAAAGUUCGGUGCAUUCAUGGACGCCAUCAGCAGUAUGCAGUUUGACUAUGUUGCUUCUGGACAUUAUGCGAAUAUUGUUCAUUCAUCUACCGAUCAAAUUGAUAGGCCUUCCGUUCUAGAAUUGUCAAAAGACAUGGUCAAGGAUCAAACGUACUUUCUUUCACAUCUCUCUCAGGCUCAGCUCAAGCGACUUAUAUUCCCACUCGGUUCUAUUCCAAAGGACAAGGUUCGAAAACUUGCCACAAAAUUUGAUCUGCCCAACAAAGAUAGAAAAGAUUCACAAGGAAUAUGCUUCCUUGGAAAGAUAAAGUUUAGUGAAUUUGUUGCUAGACACAUAGGGGAGAAGGAAGGAGUCAUAUUGGAAGCUGAGACCGGAGAUUUCCUCGGUAAACAUCGGGGUUUUUGGUUCUACACAAUUGGUCAACGUCAAGGUCUUCGUCUCCCUGGAGGACCCUGGUAUGUUGUUGAGAAGGAUGUUAAAAACAAUGUUGUGUUUGUGUCUAGAAAUUACUUCUCAAUUGACAAAAGAAGACGCAUAUUUCGUGUUGGCUCCUUAAAAUGGCUUGGUGGGUUGCUUCCAAACCAGUUACAUCAGCUCCAGUGCAAGGUGAGACAUGGUCCUGGUUUUUACAAUUGCAGUUUGAUGAUGGAACUUGGUCAAGAUGGUUGUGGAGACAUUGCAGUUGUCCAGUUAUCUGGUGAUGAUCAGGGGCUGGCAGCUGGGCAAUUUGCAGCCUUCUACGAUGGAAGAGUCUGCUUGGGCUCUGGCAUAAUUUUAGAGUCUUGGGAUGAUCAGGGUUUUCCUGUAUGCGCCAAGGCUCUUGAAAUUGCAGGAAUAAAAGAUAAAUCAAAGCUUGGGAAGCCAAUUAAGAUAAAAGAUAAACCAGAAACUCCUCUAGCAGUGUCCGAUCAAAAAGAUGGUCCAAACAUUUGUACAUUACAAAAUUCCCAUGUUGCUGCCAUUAAACAGAGAAGACACUCAUCUAAGGAAGAACCAAUCUCCAGAUUCCCUGUAAAUUGGCUGCAAAAGAUUCAAGAGAAGUGGAUGCGGAUCUUUUAGCUUCUGUGAUCUCAAGUGCAGGACCAUUGACCACAGCUUGGGAGAAAUCUCCCAGGUUACAGUAUGCAUUUAAUGGAAAUUCCUCUUCAAGUGCCAAGAAAUUAUCCCUUUUGCUCCACUUGGCGCUGCUAGUAUCCAGCUAGGAAAAUGAAGUGUGAGGAGAGCCGGGGACCCCACGGCUUGAUCUUGUGAUCUUUCAGCUGAGUAAAUGGACAGCCCACUUGCUUCCCCUCAUCUUGCUUGGUGUAAUGGCUGGCGGGUGAGCCCUCCAAAUCAUGUAGCUUAACCUAUUUUUCUGGCUUCAUUAUUUAGGGAAAAUGAUAGAUAUAUAAUUCUACAUGCAAAAGUACGUAAACGUCGCGUAAU